Molecule: long non-coding RNA, 231 nt
Filed under: Carica papaya (papaya)
Lineage: Eukaryota; Viridiplantae; Streptophyta; Magnoliopsida; Brassicales; Caricaceae
Description: long non-coding RNA (CPAP_LNC014416)
Source: RNAcentral
ACCUUGUGAUUAGAAACUUGGAUUUUUUAAAAAAAUUAGGAAGCCUAUAUAGCCCAAGACUUUCCUCAAGAACUUUGAAUCCUGUACCACAUAACUAUGACAAAUAUUUUAUUUUAUUAUGGUGUUAUCGCAUGUGUAAAGACCCAAAACUUAAAGAAAAUGAAUAUAUAUUGUAAAGGUGACAACAAUUAAGAGUUUAGGAUUUACAUUCCUUAUACAAUGAAUUGGGAU